Anopheles arabiensis is the source of this 612-nucleotide long non-coding RNA. RefSeq lists it as uncharacterized. The transcript is spliced from 3 exons. NCBI's taxonomy places the organism in Eukaryota, Metazoa, Arthropoda, Insecta, Diptera, Culicidae. The record is from RefSeq and is a predicted model, not a curated record.
CAACAACAGCACCAACAACAGCAGGAACACCAACAGCAGCAGCAACACCAACAGCAGCAGCAGCAACCGCAGAUCAUUUGCCCAUACGUUCCGAUUGCUGGACAUGCACCGUACAUACAUGGGUGCAUUUAUAACUGUUUGCCAAACGUAGGGGAAGCAAGCAAUCAUGGUACAAUAGCGUUGGCGUACGAUAUAAACCCGUUGAAUUCGCCGCCGCCUUUUAAUUGUGCUCAAUUUUGGCCCAACAAUUAAGCUGAAUGUUUGCUUUUGAUGCUAAUGUAACGGUUUACUUCUUUGAUAAUUUAAUAUCGAUUUUUUGUCAUAACGAGUUCUCUUAAAACUUGAUUGAGGUAGUCGAAACAGAAUCUCAUUUCUUGCUCUUUAUCGCUUUUUUUUUAUUUCGUAUACUGAUCGUAUUUCGUAUUUGAUAUUGAUGAAAUUGAUUUCGUAACUUGUUUUUGUGAAUUCCUCACAUACUCAGCCAAUCCGAUCGUGUGUGGGUUACAUUGAAAGUGUGGAUUUUUUGGCGUUACUGAAAAGUAUGUUCUAUAUUUACACGAUAUUUACUGAUCGAAUUUCAUGUAAACAAUAAAAAAUGCAUUCCAAUAAACU